AUGUUUAGCCACCAAAUGUCCUCACACCAGUUGGUGGUGUAUCCCCAAACAAAAUCGGAGGAUGGAGAGCCUUGUGUAGCGGCGAAUGUCCGAUUCAAUUCGGUGCACGCAGCGGCUCAUGCAUUCGCGUACUGGGAUGGCCCCUGCAUCUACUAUCGGUGUUGUCGCCUGCAGAUGUGGUACGCUACACUUGACAUGUUGCCAGCCCCGUCUUCUCCUUCACCAACCGUUGUCAAGGACAACCGUGACACCGCCGCUGCGUUCGGCCCCGAGCCCGUGGUCGACCUCAACAACUCCACCGUGGCCAUCUCUGGUCACGACAAAGAGUCCGUCGGGGCCUUCAGCCUCCCUGCGGCGGCCAGCACCAGCACGCCUAAGUCUUCCCUCGACAGCGACUGCCACGUCCCGGUCGCGGGCACGGACGAGUACACAUCUGUGGCGGCAAUUCCAGAAGUCGUCACCGAGCUCGCCGUCUUCCCCGGCAUCUCCUCCACCACCAAGUCCCAGGAGGUCCUCCAGGUCAUCCACGACGCGCCCCCUGCCUGCAUCGCGAUGGCGCACGUCACCUAUUCGACGGAACGCUCGCACCAGGUCGCCACAACCGACAUCCUCAAUGAGGGUUUGAGACUCGUCCUGGAUGAUGCCAUUGCGGAGCUCACGCAUACGGUGACCCCCAUCAAAAUCUUCCCUGAGAUCGUGUCCCUGGAGGUGUGUGGCACAUGCCAAGGUGUUGACGCCAUCGAUGUCAGCUCUCCCACCGCGUCUGCAUUCACUGGGUCACCGGUGUGGCCUAGCUCCAACUCCGGCAACCUUGAAUAUUCACUGCCAUCAAGACACAAGGAUGUACAGCAAGUGUUGGAGCCAAUGUCGUUUGACAAGCCUGAAGAUGCUGCUGCUAAUGUGAAGAAGCACAAAGAUGAUGCAAAGCUGACAGUACUUACACUCGUCCUGAACCCAUCAACUUGGUAUGAACAUUUCAGUCCCCGAGACCCAUGUUUUGUUUCGUUCGAGGCCCAGUUGGUAUUUGAGGAGCAUAUGAGGUCUGAACCGUGUCUAACAUGGCCACCACUAGUAGGAGCUAAUUUCAGUGAGUUAUGUUCAUCAGGGCAGUUUGAUUCAGAUUGCACACUGUCAUUAUUCCCUUGGAAUCCAGGUGGUUAUUUGCUCAAGCAUAGCAAUCGGAUGACCAGAGUGUUUAUUACUGCUAAUUCACAAUGGCCUAUUACCCGUGUAAUUGAGGAGUCCAGUCAGUGCUUUCCUCAGAUUGUAAAAAUAUAG
Molecule: ribosomal RNA, 1278 nt
Filed under: Triticum aestivum (bread wheat)
Lineage: Eukaryota; Viridiplantae; Streptophyta; Magnoliopsida; Poales; Poaceae
Description: partial small subunit ribosomal RNA
Source: RNAcentral